Molecule: long non-coding RNA, 986 nt
Organism: Thunnus maccoyii (southern bluefin tuna)
Lineage: Eukaryota; Metazoa; Chordata; Actinopteri; Scombriformes; Scombridae
Exons: 3
Source: RefSeq, a predicted model, not a curated record
GAUUGACAGCUGUGAUUGACACACCCGCUGCUCUCCCCGGCUCCGAGACUCGCAUUAAGUCGGAUUAUUGUCACACUAUUAUAGUAGAAUAUCAGGUCUCUCCAGAUACAAAACCAGUGCUGCUAUUCUGAGGCGCAGAAACGGAGGAUUUGGAAGUGGCUGAGCAACCCGGGAGCCACCGUUUAGCAACGCCCCAGAACAACAGCAUGCCAAACGAAUGUCACCCUGCAGAGCCACGCUGCUCCACUGAAGCACUGAAAGCUGCAAUUCAAGCAAACUGGGGGGUCGAGGACCACGAGAAACAGCAGAGAGACCACCUGAUGUUAUAAUCCUCAUCUUCAGUGUAAUUCAUGGAAAAAAUACAGUAACUGUGGAACUCAGAAAACAUGCGACUGUCUGAAGUCAACAGUUCUGAAAUUUCACAUUUUUUUCUAUGGUAAAAUAUUCCAGCAGUUAACAUUUCUUUGCCUCACCGUGAUUUGAAAUUCAAGAAUAGUUGAAUAAACUAAAAUACUGAAAAUACAAAAUUUAUGUUAAAUUAUUUUCCAUUAGUUCCUGAUUGUGAAAUUGUGGCUACAACUGGCUUACAUCUGUUUGCAUUUUUAGAGAUUACCACCACCUACACAGUAUAUAAGCACACUCAUCACACUCCGGUUUUAUCCCUAUAGAAGAGGAAAAGCAUUCACUGGAAAAAAUACUUAUGACCUCGCCCAGAAACACUGAAACAAAACAGGCAUCUUGGUAGACUUUGUGGCUGUGUCUCUCAGUCGAAACGCUAUUCACUACUGCCCCCUGCUGUGGGAAUAACCUGGACCCUGAUGUGACGCAUACUGUGAACACUUUUCCCAGCAGUGGACAGAAGACUAGAAUAUCCUACCAAAGAAGAGGUAAUGUUAUUUCACUGAAAUAAUACUGACGUCAAAGCCAGAUUACUUCUGUUGAAGACUAUUCAGUAGACAUAUGUGCACUCUGAGAGGUUAAAUAUG